RNAcentral lists this transfer RNA (78 nucleotides) under Candidatus Hydrogenedentota bacterium. RNAcentral's name for it is "tRNA-Arg". It matches the Rfam family "tRNA". Rfam says of the family: Transfer RNA (tRNA) molecules are approximately 80 nucleotides in length. Their secondary structure includes four short double-helical elements and three loops (D, anti-codon, and T loops). Further hydrogen bonds mediate the characteristic L-shaped molecular structure. tRNAs have two regions of fundamental functional importance: the anti-codon, which is responsible for specific mRNA codon recognition, and the 3' end, to which the tRNAs corresponding amino acid is attached (by aminoacyl-tRNA synthetases). tRNAs cope with the degeneracy of the genetic code in two manners: having more than one tRNA (with a specific anti-codon) for a particular amino acid; and 'wobble' base-pairing, i.e. permitting non-standard base-pairing at the 3rd anti-codon position. Lineage: Bacteria; Pseudomonadati; Candidatus Hydrogenedentota. The record is from RNAcentral.
GCGCCCAUAGCUCAGUUUGGAUAGAGCGCUUGCCUCCGGAGCAAGAGGCCGCAGGUUCGAGUCCUGCUGGGCGCGCCA